Molecule: ribosomal RNA, 443 nt
Filed under: uncultured bacterium
Lineage: Bacteria
Description: partial 16S ribosomal RNA
Rfam family: Bacterial small subunit ribosomal RNA
Source: RNAcentral
CCUACGGGAGACAGCAGUGGGGAAUAUUGCACAAUGGGCGAAAGCCUGAUGCAGCAACGCCGCGUGAAGGAAGAAGGGUUUCUGCUCGUAAACUUCUAUCAACAGGGACGAAAGACAUGACGGUACCUGACUACGAAGCCCCGGCUAACUACGUGCCAGCAGCCGCGGUACUACGUAGGGGGCAAGCGUUAUCCGGAAUUACUGGGUGUAAAGGGUGAGUAGGCGGCAUGGUAAGCCAGAUGUGAAAGCCUUGGGCUUAACCCGAGGAUUGCAUUUGGAACUAUCAAGCUAGAGUACAGGAGAGGAAAGCGGAAUUCCUAGUGUAGCGGUGAAAUGCGUAGAUAUUAGGAAGAACACCAGUGGCGAAGGCGGCUUUCUGGCUGGAAACUGACGCUGAGGUGCGAAAGCGUGGGUAGCAAACAGGAUUAGAUACCCGUGUAGUC